This is a long non-coding RNA of Metopolophium dirhodum (rose-grain aphid), 465 nucleotides long. RefSeq lists it as uncharacterized. The transcript is spliced from 3 exons. The record is from RefSeq and is a predicted model, not a curated record. Lineage: Eukaryota; Metazoa; Arthropoda; Insecta; Hemiptera; Aphididae.
AUAUUGUUAAUUAAUUCAUAAACAAAAAUAAAUAAAAAUUUAGAACAUAGGGUGCCUCCGGAUUUUUAAAAAACGAUUAAGGGUGCCGUGAGUCAAAAAAAGUUGGGAACCUCUGGGUUAGGUACUUAUUUAAAAAACGACACAGUCUGUACGUGACGGACGAUGACGUCCCGGAUUUACCGCUCUAAAGCUAACGCCCCAAGCGUUUCGAGUCGUUUGGAAUAUAAUUACAAUUGAAAAUACUUCAUUUCGCCAUCCAAAAACGUGCAAACAAAUACAUGUAUUUGCAGAUAUUCCGCGUUUGUUAAAGUUGGCACAAAACCAUUUCAUUGACAAAUUAUUAAAGAAAUAAUGGCAAUAAAUGAUGGUCAUGAUUUAAAAUUUGCACAUAAGGUCAGUGAAAGACACAUUUCAUUAGAAGGGCCCACUAGAAUGAAUGUGAAAUUGGCCACACAGGUAUUUUUG